AACAUGAACAAGAUUACCCUUUUCCACCUUAGGUUAGUGAAACUGCACCAGCUGAACUAAUGAAAAGUCUAGCCAUGGCAAGAUUGAUUAUUACUCAUGAAGCCAUACAGUUUUCAAGGUAUGAAUGAAUGAAUGUUUCUGUUAAUGAUUUUUGGGUAAGCCCUUGUUUUAACUCUUUGGAUGCUGCAGGGAAAAUGGAGAUCAGAAAAGAGCUAUAUCUUAUGCAGCGUGGCUACUAAGCCUUGAGAAUCAAGGGAUAAGAGUAUUUGAUGAUAGAAUCUUGAAGUUUCAUGCCCAACUAGCUUUUGAUAAUUCCAAACCAGACUAUAAGCCUCAGCCAUCAAAGGUGGAAGGAAAAGAUGCAGACUCUGAUUUUCUCUUUUACGUUGACAAUAAGGGUUAAGUGGAAGACGAUUAUGAGGAGGAGAAAUACCGAAACAAAUCCAUGAGUGCAGCAUUUGUAGCUGCAGCUCACUCAAUGAAGAUGACCACAAAUGGAGGGACAAGAAGGAAGGAAAAGGGAAUUACUGGCAAGAGGAAAAAGAUUAAAUAUAUCAAAUUUAACCUCACAGAAAACUUUGGUUCAACUAAAGAGAGGACCUCAUCUGUCAGUAAUGAUUGCUUGAUUAGUGAUAGUACAGUGAAUGAACCAAGUACUUGUGAAGAUACGGGAAUAGAUGAGCAAUCAAUUCAUAGUAGCAAGUUAUGGAAAUUGCGUUAUAUCAACUAGAGAUCUUUGUAACUUUCUCAUGCCGCUCUAUAACUGAUGGAUUUUCUUAGUAAUUUUUGACCGAUUGUUUGUAAAAGUUGCCUAAUGAGAGCAAAAACCGACACCCAAAAGGCUACUGGAAAUGUGAAUGGAAAGCUGAUAUACUGCUUGCAACUUCGCAUCAACAUACUGUGAUCCCUUUGUGUAAGUUAAGAGGAAAGCACUGUAAUGAAACCUUUUUGCCAAUCUAUUCAGGCUUUUGUUGUGUAGGAAGGAAAUUUUGGUUUAGCAGUUUCUGUUGUUUAAACCAUGAUUGUCCGAAGUGGCAGUGUGCUGACGUUUAGGUAAUCUAUCCAAAGUUUCAACAAGCA
This is a long non-coding RNA of Mangifera indica (mango), 1080 nucleotides long. RefSeq lists it as uncharacterized. Lineage: Eukaryota; Viridiplantae; Streptophyta; Magnoliopsida; Sapindales; Anacardiaceae. The transcript is spliced from 2 exons. The record is from RefSeq and is a predicted model, not a curated record.